UACGUAGGGGGCAAGCGUUGUCCGGAUUCAUUGGGCGUAAAGAGCGUGUAGGCGGCCAGGUAGGUCGGUUGUGAAAACUGGAGGCUCAACCUUCAGAGGUCGACCGAAACCAUCUGGCUAGAGUCCGGGAGAGGAGAGUGGAAUUCCCAGUGUAGAGGUGAAAUUCGUAGAUAUUGGGAAGAACACCGGUGGCGAAGGCGGCCAUCUGGACCGCAACUGACGCUGAGGCGCGAAAGCGUGGGGAGCAAACAGG
RNAcentral lists this ribosomal RNA (253 nucleotides) under uncultured bacterium. RNAcentral's name for it is "partial 16S ribosomal RNA". It matches the Rfam family "Bacterial small subunit ribosomal RNA", at positions 524 to 776 of the family's 1533-position model. The record is from RNAcentral.